This 473-nucleotide ribosomal RNA is filed under the name uncultured bacterium. RNAcentral describes it as "bacterial SSU rRNA". It matches the Rfam family "Bacterial small subunit ribosomal RNA", at positions 28 to 518 of the family's 1533-position model. The record is from RNAcentral.
AGACGAACGCUGGCGGCGUGCUUAACACAUGCAAGUCGAACGGGAGUAUUGAAGAAGCUUGCUUUAGAGAUACUUUAGUGGCGGACGGGUGAGUAACGCGUGAGGAGCUGUCCUAUGCAGGGGGACAACAGCUGGAAACGGCUGCUAAUACCCCAUAAGCCGAGAGGUAAAAGGAUCAAUCCGGCAGAGGAGGUACUCGCGUCCUAUCAGCUAGUAGGUGAGGUAACGGCUCACCUAGGCGAAGACGGGUAGCCGGCCUGAGAGGGCGAACGGCCACACUGGAACUGAGAUACGGUCCAGACUCCUACGGGAGGCAGCAGUGGGGAAUAUUGGGCAAUGGGGGGAAAAACCCCCUGACCCAGCGACGCCGCGUGGGUGAAGAAAUCCUUCGGGAUGUAAAGCCCUGUUGUAUGGGAAGAGCGGAAGACGGUACCAUACGAGGAAGCCCCGGCAAACUACGUGCCAGCCGCCGC